RNAcentral lists this ribosomal RNA (433 nucleotides) under uncultured bacterium. RNAcentral describes it as "partial 16S ribosomal RNA". It matches the Rfam family "Bacterial small subunit ribosomal RNA", at positions 29 to 507 of the family's 1533-position model. The record is from RNAcentral.
AGCGAACGCUGGCGGCAGGCUUAACACAUGCAAGUCGAGCGGGCCUUUCGGGGUCAGCGGCGGACGGGUGAGUAACGCGUGGGAACGUGCCCUCUGGUUCGGAAUAACUCAGGGAAACUUGAGCUAAUACCGGAUACGCCCUUUUGGGGAAAGGCUUGCUGCCGGAGGAUCGGCCCGCGUCUGAUUAGCUAGUUGGUGAGGUAACGGCUCACCAAGGCGACGAUCAGUAGCUGGUCUGAGAGGAUGAUCAGCCACACUGGGACUGAGGCACGGCCCAGACUCCUACGGGAGGCAGCAGUGGGGAAUAUUGGACAAUGGGCGCAAGCCUGAUCCAGCCAUGCCGCGUGAGUGAUGAAGGCCUUAGGGUUGUAAAGCUCUUUUAUCCGGGACGAUAAUGACGGUACCGGAGGAAUAAGCCCCGGCUAACUUCGUG